GGAGGGCGGCACAGUGUGCACUGGGAGGGAAGGCCAUCGAGUUCCUGCUGAACCACUCAACAGCUUAAAAUACAACCAGCCCCUCUCCCUACUGGGCCAGCUGCCGGGGAGGGCUGAAACCCUAGCCUCUCCCCCAGCUGGGGCACUGCAGCCAGGCCAGGAGCCGUGGUGCACCAACUGGUGGGCAGCAGGAGAGCGCAUGGAGAGGGGCCACGGUGAAGAGCAAUCCCAAGCCACAAGCUGAGGGACUGCCUGCAGCAGAGGAAGACUCAGGCAAGCCAGGAAGCUUAAAGAAGUCAGAGACCCUGAGGAUGAACUGACUAGAGGUGUUCGACGGCCACUGUCCAUUAUGCCCGCCCCUGGCUCCACUCAAGCCGGCAGGCAGAAAUUGGUUCUCUCCUGCCACCUUGUGGGGUGAAGGGAUCAAAUUCAGGUAAGCCUCAAAGACGCAUCUCUACCUGAUGAACUGUCUCACUAUCUCCGAGGCUUCUGAGACGGGGAGGUUUCCCAGUGGACUGAGGUGCAAGAGGGCAAAGGAUCGACUCAGUCCUUCAAAGGCUGGAGAGAUGGUUUAGCGGGUUAAGAGCACUGACUGCUC
This is a long non-coding RNA of Mus caroli (Ryukyu mouse), 598 nucleotides long. RefSeq lists it as uncharacterized. NCBI's taxonomy places the organism in Eukaryota, Metazoa, Chordata, Mammalia, Rodentia, Muridae. The record is from RefSeq and is a predicted model, not a curated record.